CCGUGCUAGAUGGGGAGGUAGCGGUGCCCUGUAACCUGCAAUCCGCUCUAGCAGGAUUGAAUUCCCAUGCUUAGGCUUUAUGCCUGUGAGGACUGGCCUGCACAAGUGGUGUAGAUCAUUGGGUCCUGCGCAACGGAACCUCAUAAACCCCGCCAGGUCCGGAAGGAAGCAACGGUAAGUGAGCCCUUUCGUGUGCCGCGGGGCAACCUGAUGGGAGCUAACUAUGCAGAUACCGCUCGGAGGCAUGAGUCGAAGCUGGGUGCACGG
Molecule: signal recognition particle RNA, 267 nt
Filed under: Mahella australiensis 50-1 BON
Lineage: Bacteria; Bacillati; Bacillota; Clostridia; Mahellales; Mahellaceae
Description: Bacterial large signal recognition particle RNA
Rfam family: Bacterial large signal recognition particle RNA
About the family: The signal recognition particle (SRP) is a universally conserved ribonucleoprotein involved in the co-translational targeting of proteins to membranes.
Source: Rfam by way of RNAcentral